GGUACAACAACACCAGUAAGCUUGAUUGCCACACCAGAUCCUUCCAAACCAUGUGACCCUUUCCAGCCUUUUGGAGCUGAUGUCAUAGACCAUUUCCAGGCUAAAAAAGGUCUAGGUGACCCAUUCAGUGGAAAAGAUCCCUUCAUCCCAUCAUCAGCAUCAAGUAAUGCUCCUAAAGAAUCUACCUCCAGUUUUACAGAUGUCAGUUCCGACCUGAUAAAGUCAAGGUAAGCAAUUGAGCACACAGAGGGAUUCACAUGAAACUAGGUUUUAAUUAGAAUUGCUUUUUUAAUAUUUAAUUAUAUGUUAGAUGCAUGAUAAACAAAUAGCAGAAAGAAAAAUAAGCAAAAAAUGUAGCAUUGAGGAUAUUUAGACAAAAAUAUCAAUCAGAUAACUUUUACAAAAUGAACGAAGAGUAUCCCAUUUUAACAUGGAACCGGCUGCAGUUAGCAGUUGUUUUUCAUUGGUUAGUUUUGUAUAACCUUUAUAAGGUUUGGUGAAACCUUCAAAAAACUAUAUAGCACUGUUCUUACAGUUCAGCUGCUCUAAUUUAUGGAAGUUAGGAAAUGUGGAAUUUAAAGCUGUUUCUUCGUUGGAAUAAAAUGUAUAGUCACUUACAUCCUGGUCUUCUGAUCUAGUAUUUGGUGUCAACCAUUUCUUGUUCACAGAAAAAUAAUUUUAAUUCAUUUCAAUUUAUUUACAUAGUGUCAAUUUCCAACACUGAUCAUACCUCUAACCUGUACCUAUUCCUUUAUUGAGCUAAUUUUCAUAAGCAUAUCGUCUGUGAACUUUUAAUAUAUUGACAAUUUGUACAAUUCUGAUAAUAUAUUGGCAUUGUUCUCUUCAAAAAUGUGAAUUGUAAUUUUUUUCAAUCAGAAACUGUUGUAAUUGAUCCUUCUGAGUUCUGUUAGCCUGAUGUCUUUGCAGUACUGUAGUGUGUAUGAAGCAUGUAAUGUACAAAGUGACAAAGCAGAAUAAUAAAGAAUAAUAAAGUAGUCAAAAUGUGUACAUCAUUAGCAAUAAUAGUAAACCAGAUGUUUACCUGGAGCAUACUGUGAUCGCACUACUAAUAUUUAAAAUAUAUAAAGUUCAUAUAUUUAAAAGACAUUCUAAAUAUAUUUUAAAUGUAAUUUGUUCACAAAAAUGGUACACUUAAUAUAUACACUAAUCAAGGACGUUUAUGUUACAUAAAAUCAGGGGGCACUAUGAC
Poecilia latipinna (sailfin molly) is the source of this 1210-nucleotide long non-coding RNA. RefSeq lists it as uncharacterized. The transcript has 2 exons. The record is from RefSeq and is a predicted model, not a curated record. Lineage: Eukaryota; Metazoa; Chordata; Actinopteri; Cyprinodontiformes; Poeciliidae.